This is a microRNA precursor of Oryza sativa Indica Group (long-grained rice), 196 nucleotides long. It matches the Rfam family "MIR812 microRNA precursor family". The record is from Rfam. Lineage: Eukaryota; Viridiplantae; Streptophyta; Magnoliopsida; Poales; Poaceae.
AAUAAGUGCAGUUUUGCAACGUUUAACCGUCCGUCUUAUUUGAAAAUUUUUUAUGAUUAGUAUUUUUAUUGCUAUUAGAUGAUAAAACAUGAAUAGUACUUUAUGUGUGACUAAAUGUUUUUAAUUUUUUCACAAAUUUUUCAAAUAAGACGGACGGUCAAACGUUGAACAUGAAUAGUGCAAAACUGCACUUAUU